CAUGUCGCGAUAGCAUGUGCGACUCAAAAUCGAGUGGGAAACCGUGGAGGUUCGAGUCCUCUCGCCGGUACCA
Molecule: transfer RNA, 73 nt
Filed under: Paenibacillus sp. FSL H7-0357
Lineage: Bacteria; Bacillati; Bacillota; Bacilli; Caryophanales; Paenibacillaceae
Description: tRNA-Leu (CAA) (tRNA-Leu-CAA-3-1)
Source: RNAcentral